RNAcentral lists this long non-coding RNA (840 nucleotides) under Chrysemys picta bellii (western painted turtle). RNAcentral's name for it is "lncRNA (ENSCPBG00000008542.1)". Lineage: Eukaryota; Metazoa; Chordata; Testudines; Emydidae. The record is from RNAcentral.
CUGCCCUGGGUGUGGAGUGAUUGUGGCUAUUGUCUUAUGUCUCCAGUAGAGCCUGAGUUCUGUUCAAAUGGAUUUGACUGAGACUCACAGUUCUGUGGUUGAUCCUACACAAGGAAUGGAGAAGGGCAGAACCCAUGAACUCCUCUUGAGGUACUGAAGAAUUGGUGCUGUAAAUGGAGCAGUGAAGUGAAGUAAUGAGGUGCCUGCUGAUAGAAGAGGAUUUAAGGCCUCAUUGGGGAGAAGAGUCUGUGAUGGCUGCUGCAUCUGAGAGGAAGACAGAUCCUGGGAGAAGGCCUGAGACAGCUGUAGCAGAGAAUGGGUAAAGGGAGACACCAAACAUACAGACAGAAGAAUAAGACAGAAGAAUAAUUCAGAAGGAAGGAAUGGUCCUACUUUCCUGCAGGAAACCAGGUAAAGUGCCAGGCUCUGUCAUAGAAUCAUAGAAGAUUAGGGUUGGAAGAGACCUCAGGAAGUCAUCUAGUCCAACCCCCUGCACAAAGCAGGACCAACCCCAACUAAAUCAUUCCAGCCAGGGCUUUGUCAAGCCAAGCCUUAAAAACCUCUAAGGAUGGAGAUUCCACCCCCUCCCUAGGUAACCCAUUUCAGUGCUUCACCUCACUCUUAGUGAAAUAAGUUUUCCUAAUAUCCAACCGAGACCUCCCCCACUGCAACUUGAGACCAUUGCUCCUUGUUCUGUCAUCUGCCACCACUGAGAACAGCCUAGUUCCAUCCUCUUUGGAACCCCUCUUCAGGUAGUUGAAGGCUGCUAUCAAAUCCCCCCCCCCCCACUCUUCUCUUCUGCAGACUAAAUAAGCCCAGUUCCCUCAGCCUCUCCUCAUA